This 428-nucleotide ribosomal RNA is filed under the name uncultured bacterium. Its description in RNAcentral is "partial 16S ribosomal RNA". It matches the Rfam family "Bacterial small subunit ribosomal RNA", at positions 354 to 796 of the family's 1533-position model. The record is from RNAcentral.
GUGGGGAAUCUUCCGCAAUGGACGAAAGUCUGACGGAGCAACGCCGCGUGAGGGAAGAAGGCCUUCGGGUUGUAAACCUCUGUCCUUGGUGACGAAAAAAAUGACGGUAGCCAAGGAGGAAGCCCCGGCUAACUACGUGCCAGCAGCCGCGGUAAGACGUAGGGGGCGAGCGCUGUCCGGAAUUACUGGGCGUAAAGAGCACGUAGGCGGGAACUUAAGUCAGGUGUGAAAGACCGGGGCUCAACUCCGGGGUUGCACUUGAAACUGGGUUUCUUGAGGGAAGGAGAGGAAAGCAGAAUUCCUGGUGUAGCGGUGAAAUGCGUAGAAAUCAGGAGGAAUACCAGUGGCGAAGGCGGCUUUCUGGACUGACCCUGACGCUGAGGUGCGAAAGCGUGGGUAGCAAACAGGAUUAGAUACCCCAGUAGUCC